UACAGAGGGUGCGAGCGUUAAUCGGAAUUACUGGGCGUAAAGCGUGCGUAGACGGUUAUUUAAGUCGGGUGUGAAAGCCCCGGGCUCAACCUGGGAAUUGCAUUCGAGACUGAAUAGCUAGGGUACGGUAGAGGGAAGCGGAAUUUCCGGUGUAGCGGUGAAAUGCGUAGAUAUCGGAAGGAACAUCAGUGGCGAGAGCGGCUUCCUGGACCAGUACCGACGUUCAGGCACGAAAGCGUGGGGAGCAAACAGG
This 253-nucleotide ribosomal RNA is filed under the name uncultured bacterium. RNAcentral's name for it is "partial 16S ribosomal RNA". It matches the Rfam family "Bacterial small subunit ribosomal RNA", at positions 524 to 776 of the family's 1533-position model. The record is from RNAcentral.